This 812-nucleotide long non-coding RNA is filed under the name Sinocyclocheilus anshuiensis. Its description in RNAcentral is "lncRNA (ENSSANG00000005599.1)". The record is from RNAcentral. Lineage: Eukaryota; Metazoa; Chordata; Actinopteri; Cypriniformes; Cyprinidae.
UUGAUGUGUUUUCUAGUGAUUUAAAGAGUGUCUUGUGUCUCCAGCAGGGUGCCGUCUCCUCCCGCUCCUGCAGUAAAGUCCUCUCAGCAGGUGACGGAGGACACGGGCCGCCCGCCGUCGUUAGACUAUGUGCCGUAUGUGCGCACAGACGAGGUGUAUCACAUGGACCCCCUCGCUCCGCUGUCCAGACCCCCGACACAUGAAGCCCAGCAGAGGGUCCACACAGUUGUGAGCAGCAGCAGCAGGCAGGCGCCGCCUCGGGUCCAGCAUCCUCCUAAAAGCACUGAACGGCAGCAGGCCAUCCUGAAAGGUCUGUCCGAGCUGAGACAGGGUCUGCUGCAGAGACAGCGAGAGCUAGAAACCAGUCUGAACCCUGCAGUGCAAACACAACACAGAAACCACUUCUCACCUUUCAGACCGGUGUGAUCCAGAGCUGCUUCCGAAAACAAGACCAGCACUUUAUACUGCGAGAUGUGAACAGUGGAGAUGUUGCUGUCUGACAUAUGAAUCCGUUACACGCUCUUAUUAAGGACUAGGUUUGUAAAGGGGUGGUAAACUUCCGGCAAAUUUCCAAAAAAAUCCUGGAAAGUUUCCAAAAUUUCUGGAAUUUUUCCUACAUUUUCCACCUUUUUGCAACCCUAUUAAGGACUCAUUGUAGAUGUGUAACGCAUCAGGCACGUUUCUGGGGUUGAUUUUGAACCGCAGAUCUUGAAUGUGACUGGCUUUUAUGACGACUGUGAACUUUACAGUUUUCCCUACAUGUGAAUUAAACGUAUUUAAACUAAACUUGAAGCUGCGUCUACUAUUGACCA